AGAGUUUGAUCCUGGCUCAGGAUGAACGCUGGCGGCGUGCCUAAUACAUGCAAGUCGAGCGGCAGCGCGGUCUUCGGACUGGCGGCGAGCGGCGGACGGGUGAGUAACGCGUAGGAAUGUACCCCAGAGUGAGGGAUAAGCAUCGGAAACGGUGUCUAAUACCGCAUAAUCUCUUCGGAGCAAAGCUUUUAGCGCUUUGGGAACAGCCUGCGUAAGAUUAGCUAGUUGGUGAGGUAAAGGCUCACCAAGGCGACGAUCUUUAGCUGGUCUGAGAGGAUGAUCAGCCACACUGGAACUGAGACACGGUCCAGACUCCUACGGGAGGCAGCAGUAAGGAAUCUUCCACAAUGGGCGAAAGCCUGAUGGAGCAACGCCGCGUGCAGGAUGAAUGCCUUCGGGUUGUAAACUGCUUUUGUUAGCGAAGAAUAUGACGGUAACUAACGAAUAAGGAACGGCUAACUACGUGCCAGCAGCCGCGGUCAUACGUAGGUUCCGAGCGUUAUCCGGAGUGACUGGGCGUAAAGAGUUGCGUAGGCGGCUCGUAAAGCAGAUAGUGAAACCAUGUGGCUCAACCAUUAUGACUAUUAUCUGAACUCACGAGCUCGAGAGUAGUAGAGGUACCUGGAAUUUCUAGUGUAGGGGUGAAAUCCGUAGAUAUUAGAAGGAACACCAAUGGCGUAGGCAGGGUACUAGACUAUUUCUGACGCUGAGGCACGAAAGCGUGGGGAGCGAACCGGAUUAGAUACCCCGGUAGUCC
This 757-nucleotide ribosomal RNA is filed under the name uncultured soil bacterium. RNAcentral describes it as "bacterial SSU rRNA". It matches the Rfam family "Bacterial small subunit ribosomal RNA", at positions 8 to 796 of the family's 1533-position model. The record is from RNAcentral.